UUCAUGACUUCAGAUGAAAAGGACUCUUCGCCAGAUGCUGAGCCUCAAGCUGAGAACUUUGCAUUCAUGACCAAAAUCCUGUCAGCUCCUGUUCAUGGACUCACUGCUGAAGAGAAAAAGUUGAUGUGAAAUGUGAAGAGACACUUGGGGGAGAACAAGUUUUAAAUUCUGAUUCACAAAAACCUUGUUUUGAUGAAAAUAAUCCUGAUCUUAUUUUGGGACAAAGUAUUUUUAGCAUGUUACUUUCUUUAGCUGGUAAUGGGCCUGAUGUUUUGGGCAA
This is a long non-coding RNA of Helianthus annuus (common sunflower), 280 nucleotides long. RefSeq lists it as uncharacterized. NCBI's taxonomy places the organism in Eukaryota, Viridiplantae, Streptophyta, Magnoliopsida, Asterales, Asteraceae. The transcript is spliced from 2 exons. The record is from RefSeq and is a predicted model, not a curated record.